UGGAAAUCCGGCGCCAGAGCCGGUCGGAGCACCAAGGAGAGCGAUGCUGCAGGGCGGGACUUCCGGCUUAUGGGCCAAACGGAAUGGCCGGAGGUCAUGAACUCACGUGUGUCUUGGCUUAAGGGGGCGUAUCCAAGAUGGUUGAGUGCGUGAAACAGUAUUGCUGGGAGUCAGUACGUAGGUUGGUCUCGGAGAUGAGGAGACAGGAUUUCUAGAAACCAAGGCUGAAGAAGCUGGAACGCCUCCGGAUCUGCAUUAUUGCUAUCCUGACUCUGUCAAGGGAAUGGGUACCCACCGCCAUCUCCAGGGAAGGCAUCGACAGCACAGUUGUGUCCAGAACACAAGUUUGAGCCUUUCCACGCCUCAAUUUCUGAUACAAUUUUCCUACCCCAGGACGAGAGAAGAGGAACUUCCAGAAUAAUGGGAUGACUGGGAUCCGUGUGACAGUCGGCAGUAAAAGUUACAGGGCCGAAGCUGCUGGUUUUGCUGGUGUGUAUAGAACAAUCAGAAAUGCCCAGUGAGCAAAGCAGUACUUUACAUCUCUUGGAGAAGUGUUUUAAAUUCAGAAUUUUGGAAUUCAUCAAAAGCAACAAGGGCACAGUUCUCUGUGUCUUUCCAAACCUGCAUCGUUUUCUGGAGCCACACAGCAGGCCACCAUUACUUAGAAUUGGAAUGCAAGAAUACGGCUCAGUGCUUAGCUGUGGGUGUCUACUUUUGCUUCCAUCAACUGCUGGAUGACGGCUCUAUGAUGGCAUUUAAGGUUCCUGCAAGUUAUUUGGUAUCUGAUUAGUAUUACAAGCUGAAAUGGUGACAAAUAGUCUAAACAUCAUUCUUGAAGCAAAGCUGUCUGCCAAUUACUGUGAAGAUGGAUUCUGGUUCAGAGGUGCUUGCCAGCAAGACUCCCAAAAGUCUCUGUACCUAUACUUAAAGGACCUGGAACUGAGCCUCUUCAUGGGCAGGGGAAGGCCUGGUGGACACUCAAGACCAAGAAUGACCAAGAAUGUUGAGGCUUAAAGGAAGGCAGUACCUCUUCAGACCCUGGAAUAACCUGACCUGCUGUUCGGGUCAAGUGGCGCCCGAACCAGGGACCUGAAGCACGGUAAACUGUGGGAUAGCUGACAGAUACCCCGGGACAAAGAGGAUCCUGCUGACUGCAAAACUCGUGCACUUCAUCAGGAGCAGGCAGUACCUCUUCAGACCCUGGAAUAACUGGACCUGCUGGACAGGUCAAGGAGUGACCUUGUCUGACUGUCUAAAGGUGACUCUACCUGUGGUCCUAUAGAAUGACCCUGACUAUCUGUCUGAAAGUGACUCCACCUUCAGGUCUUAGGAGAGACCAUGUCUGACUGAAUGGGACUACACCUGCAGUCCUAAGGAGUGACCCUUACUGACUGUCAGAAGUGAACUCCACCUGCAGUCCUAAGGAGUAACCCUAACUAACUGUCUGAAUGUUAUCAUCCUACAGUCCUAAGGAGUGACCCUGAGUGACAGUCUAAAGGGGGCUACACCUUUAGACUUAGGAGGUACUCUGUCUGACUAUCAGAAGGGGACUCCACCUGCACUACUAAGGAGUGAUCCUGACUGACUGUCUCAGGGUAUCCUCCUCCAUUCGUAAGGAGUGAUCCUUACUGACUUGUGAAGGGCACUACACCUUCAGGACUUAGGAGUGACCCUGACUGACUUUCAAAAGUGGUCUCGACCUACUGUCCUAAGGAGUAAUCUUGACUGACUGUCUGAAAGGGACUCUACCUGUGGUCCUAAGGAAUGAUCCUGCCUGAAUGUCUGAGGAGUGACGUUGUCUGACUGUCAGAAGAGGACUCCACCUGCAGGUCUAAUGAGUGACCCUGACUGACUGUUUGAAGGGUAUCCUCCUACAGUCCUAAAGAGAGACCCUGAACGACAGUCGGAAGGUGACUACACCUUCAGACUUAGGAGUGACACUGUCUGACUGUCAGAAGGGGACUUCACCUUCAGUCCUAAGGAGUGACCCUGUCUGUCGGAAAGUGACUCUACCUGUGGUCCUAUGGAGUGACCCUAACUGACUGUAUGAAGGGGACACCACGUCCAGGUUUAGGAGAGACCCUGUCUGACUGUUUGAAGGGGAAAACACCUGCAGUCCUAAGGAGUAACCCUAACUGACUGUAGAAGGAUAUCCUCCUACAGUCCUAUGGAGUGACCCUGAGUGACAGUCUGAAGGAGACUACACCUUCAGACUUAGGAGUGACCCAGUAUGACGGUCAGAUAUGGUCUCCACCUGCAGUCCUAAGGAGUGACUAUAGGGUAUCCUCCUAUAGUCCUAAGCAGUGACCCUGAGUGACAGUCUCAAUCCACUGAAUCUUCAGACUUAGGAUUGACCCUGUCUGACUCCACCUACAGUCCUAAGGAAUUAAGCUAAAUUACUGUCUGAAGUGUAUCCUCAUACAGUCCUAAGGAGUAACCCUGAGUGACAGUCAGACUGUGUAGUCUGAAGGGGACUACACCUUCAGACUUAGGAGUGACCCUGUGUGACAGUCAGAAAGGGACUCCACCUGCAGUCCUAAGGAGUGAACCUCACUGAUGUCUGAAGGGGACUCCACCUGCAGUCCUAAGGAGUGAACCUCACUGAUGUCUGAAGGGGACUCCACCUGCAGUCCUAAGGAGUGACCCUGACUGAUUGUCUGAAGGGGAAUUCACCUUCAGGACUUAGGAGUGACCUUUUCUGACUGUCUGAAGGUGACUCUACCGGUGGUCCUAUGGAGUGACCCUGACUGACUGUCAGAGGGGGACUCCACCUGCAAUCCUAGGGAGUAAACCUAACUGUCUGAAUGGUAUCCUCUACAGUCCUAAGGUGUGAACCUGAUUGACAAUCUGAAGGUGACUACACCAUCAGAUUUAGAGGUGACCCUGUCUGACUGUAAGAAGAGGAAUCCACCUAUGUCCUAAGGAGUGACCCUGACUAACUGUGCGAAGGGGACUCCACCUGCAGACCUAAGGAGUGACCCUGAGUGACUAUCUGAUUGGUAUCCUCCUACAAUCCUAAGGAGUGACCCUUACUGCCUGUGUGAAGGGGACUCCACCUUCAGGACAUAGGAGUGACCCUGACUGACUCUCAGAAGGGGACUACACCUGCAGUCCUAGGGAGUAAUCCAACAUGACUGUCAGAAGUGUAUCCUCCAACAGACCUAAGGAGUGACACUGAGUGACAGUCUGAAGGAGAAUCCACCUAAGUCCUAAGGACAGACCCUGACUGACUGUCUGCAGGGGACUCCACCUGCAGUCCUAAGGAGUAACCCUAACUAACUCUCUGUAGGGUAUCAUCCUACAGUCCAAAGCAGUAACCCUAGUGACAGUGUGAGGCUACUGUACCUUCAGACGUAGGAGUGACCAGUUUUGACUGUCCAAGGGGGACUCCACCUGCAGUCUUAAAGAGUGACCUUGAAUGACUGUCAGAAUAGGACUCCAACUGCAGUCCUAAAAAAUAACCCUAACUAACUGUCUGAAGGGUAUCCCCCUACAUUCCUAAGGAGUGACUGUGAGUGACAGUUUGAAGAGGACUAUACCUAAUAUUUAGGAGUGACCCUGUCUGACAAUCUGAAGGGGACUCCACCUCCAUUCCUAAGGAGUGACCCUGACUGAUGUCUGAAGGGAACUCUACCUCCAUUCCUGAGGAGUGUCCCUACUGAAGUCUGAAGGGGACUCCACCUGCUGUCCUAAGGAGUGACCCUGACUGAUUGUCUGAAGGUGAAUACACCUUCCGUACUUAGGAGUGACUUUUCUGACUGUCUGAAGGGGACUCUACCUGUGGUCUGGUAGUGUGACCCUGACUGACUUUCGGAAGGGGACUCCACCUGCAGUCCUAAUAACUAACCAUAACUAACUUUCUGAAGGGUAUCCUCCUCUAGUCCUAAGGUGUGACCCUGAGUGACAAUCUGAAGGGGACUACACCUUCAAACUUAGGAGUGACCCUGUCUGACUGUCAGGCGAGGAAUCCAUCCUAGUCCA
Non-coding RNA from Cricetulus griseus (Chinese hamster), 3981 nucleotides. The record is from RefSeq and is a predicted model, not a curated record. Lineage: Eukaryota; Metazoa; Chordata; Mammalia; Rodentia; Cricetidae.